Molecule: ribosomal RNA, 433 nt
Filed under: uncultured bacterium
Lineage: Bacteria
Description: partial 16S ribosomal RNA
Rfam family: Bacterial small subunit ribosomal RNA
Source: RNAcentral
AACGAACGCUGGCGGCAUGCCUAACACAUGCAAGUCGAACGAGACCUUCGGGUCUAGUGGCGCACGGGUGCGUAACGCGUGGGAACCUGCCCUUAGGUUCGGAAUAACUCCCCGAAAGGGGUGCUAAUACCGGAUAAUGUCUUCGGACCAAAGAUUUAUCGCCUUUGGAUGGGCCCGCGUUGGAUUAGCUAGUUGGUAGGGUAAAAGCCUACCAAGGCGACGAUCCAUAGCUGGUCUGAGAGGAUGAUCAGCCACACUGGGGCUGAGACACGGCCCAGACUCCUACGGGAGGCAGCAGUGGGGAAUAUUGGACAAUGGGCGAAAGCCUGAUCCAGCAAUGCCGCGUGAGUGAUGAAGGCCUUAGGGUUGUAAAGCUCCUUUACCCGGGAUGAUAAUGACAGUACCGGGAGAAUAAGCUCCGGCUAACUCCGUG